UCAUGGGUGGCAUGGACUGCUUGGUA
RNAcentral lists this small RNA (26 nucleotides) under Bombyx mori (domestic silkworm). RNAcentral describes it as "ovarian small RNA-3282". The record is from RNAcentral. Lineage: Eukaryota; Metazoa; Arthropoda; Insecta; Lepidoptera; Bombycidae.